Molecule: ribosomal RNA, 265 nt
Filed under: uncultured archaeon
Lineage: Archaea
Description: partial 16S ribosomal RNA
Rfam family: Archaeal small subunit ribosomal RNA
Source: RNAcentral
ACACGACUACAUUAGAUACCCGCGUAGUCCCAGCCCUAAACGAUGCGCGUUAGGUGUAUCGGUGACCACGAGUCACCGAGGUGCCGAAGGGAAACCGUGAAACGUGCCGCCUGGGAAGUACGGUCGCAAGGCUGAAACUUAAGGAAGUUGGCGGGGAGCACCACAACGGGUGGAGCCUUGCGGUUUAAUUGGACUCAACGCCGGGAAGCUCACCGGAUAAGACAGCGGAAUGAUUGCCGGGCUGAAGACCCUGCAUGACCAGCUG